AGAGCGGUGAGGCGGUGGCGCAGGCUGCCCAAGGAGGGCGUGGAGUCACCAUCGUUGGAGGUGUUCAAGAGCCACGUGGAUGUGGCACUGAGGUUCGUGGGCAGGGUGGGGGUGGAUUGGCAGUUGGACUAAGUGAUCUUAGAGGCCUUUUCCAAACUUAAUGAUUUUGUGAUUCUCUGAUAAGCUUGUGUUACCGCUCUUGCUUUGUCCCUGAGGAGACCGAUGGGAAACAAGACUCCGCAAAGAUGCGUGCAGCUGUGUGAGCGUCAGAGUUGAGAGCAGCAAUGUGUGUCGCUCCGAAACGUCGCUCCGAAAAUUUCCUAUGGAAGAAAUCUGGAAGAAUCCCAUCUGAAGAAUCCUUUUAGGAUCAGGACUUGAUAGAAGGUCUGUAUUAAAGAAGAGUGCUUGUAGAAGAGGUUAUGAUGGAGAUGAGCAGAGUGAACCUUGAAAGUAACCAACUAACUGGUCCUGUGGCUCUCAUUAACCUCAAAAAUUAAGGAGCUUAAUUGUGUAAGGUAGUGUGUAAUGUUCUACUCAAAUCUUUUCUUGCAAUCUGGCGG
Molecule: long non-coding RNA, 560 nt
Filed under: Gallus gallus (chicken)
Lineage: Eukaryota; Metazoa; Chordata; Aves; Galliformes; Phasianidae
Description: long non-coding RNA NONGGAT004230
Source: RNAcentral